This is a small nucleolar RNA of Artibeus jamaicensis (Jamaican fruit-eating bat), 125 nucleotides long. RefSeq annotates it as small nucleolar RNA SNORA77. The transcript has a single exon. Lineage: Eukaryota; Metazoa; Chordata; Mammalia; Chiroptera; Phyllostomidae. The record is from RefSeq and is a predicted model, not a curated record.
GCUGACUCACUUUGCACCCAACUGCAGUCCCAAGUGGGUGCUUUUUCUGUCUGCCACAGAAACAUUCUGGGAUUCUAUGACUACCUUGCCUGUCAAGGGUGAUACAGCUAUCUGGGCAUUCAGGA